CGUUAAAACACCGAUUCCUGUACGAUCACUGAAGUUAAGCAACGUCGAACCUGGUCAUUACCUAGUUGGUUGACCGCUUGGGAAUACCAGGUGUUGUAAG
This is a non-coding RNA of Acanthosepion pharaonis, 100 nucleotides long. Lineage: Eukaryota; Metazoa; Mollusca; Cephalopoda; Sepiida; Sepiidae. The record is from the annotation of a GenBank genome assembly.